This 479-nucleotide ribosomal RNA is filed under the name uncultured bacterium. Its description in RNAcentral is "bacterial SSU rRNA". It matches the Rfam family "Bacterial small subunit ribosomal RNA", at positions 28 to 507 of the family's 1533-position model. The record is from RNAcentral.
GAUGAACGCUGGCGGCGUGCUUAACACAUGCAAGUCGAACGGGAAUUACUUUAUUGAAACUUCGGUCGAUUUAAUUUAAUUCUAGUGGCGGACGGGUGAGUAACGCGUGGGUAACCUGCCUUAUACAGGGGGAUAACAGUCAGAAAUGGCUGCUAAUACCGCAUAAGCGCACAGAGUUGCAUGGCUCAGUGUGAAAAACUCCGGUGGUAUAAGAUGGACCCGCGUUGGAUUAGCUUGUUGGUGGGGUAACGGCCCCCCAAGGCGACGAUCCAUAGCCGGCCUGAGAGGGGUGAACGGCCACAUUGGGACUGAGACCCGGCCCAGACUCCUACGGGAGGCAGCAGUGGGGAAUAUUGCACAAUGGGGGAAACCCUGAUGCAGCGACGCCGCGUGAAGGAAGAAGUAUCUCGGUAUGUAAACUUUUAUCAGCAGGGAAGAUAGUGACGGUACCUGACUAAGAAGCCCCGGCUAACUACGUG